UACGUAGGGGGGCAAGCGUUGUCCGGAUUUAUUGGGCGUAAAGAGCGUGUAGGCGGCCUGACAGGUCUGCUGUGAAAACUCGAGGCUCAACCUCGAGAUGUCGGCGGAAACCGUCUGGCUAGAGUCCGGAAGAGGAGAGUGGAAUUCCUGGUGUAGCGGUGGAAUGCGCAGAUAUCAGGAGGAACACCGAUGGCGAAGGCAGGUCACUGGGCCGCAACUGACGCUGAGGAGCGAAAGCAUGGGGAGCGAACAGG
Molecule: ribosomal RNA, 254 nt
Filed under: uncultured bacterium
Lineage: Bacteria
Description: partial 16S ribosomal RNA
Rfam family: Bacterial small subunit ribosomal RNA
Source: RNAcentral